GGGUUGUAUUUAUUAGAUAAAGAACCAAUAUUUUUGGUGACUCAUAAUAACUUUACGGAUCACAUUAUGUGACAUAUCAUUCAAGUUUCUGACCUAUCAGCUUUAGACGGUAGGGUAUUGGCCUACCGUGGCUAUGACGGGUAACGGGGAAUUAGGGUUCGAUUCCGGAGAGGGAGCCUGAGAAACGGCUACCACAUCUAAGGAAGGCAGCAGGCGCGCAAAUUACCCAAUCCUAAUACAGGGAGGUAGUGACAAGAAAUAACAAUACAGGACCUUACGGUUUUGUAAUUGGAAUGAGUUAAGUAUAAACCCCUUAACAAGUAUCAAUUGGAGGGCAAGUCUGGUGCCAGCAGCCGCGGUAAUUCCAGCUCCAAUAGCGUAUAUUAAAGUUGUUGCAGUUAAAAAGCUCGUAGUUAAUUUUCUGUUAAUUUUUAUAUACAAUACUACGGUAUUUAUAUAAUAUUAACAUAAUUCAUAUUACUUUUUAGUAUAUGAAACUUUACUUUGAGAAAAUUAGAGUGCUUAAAGCAGGCUAUUGCCUUGAAUACUCCAGCAUGGAAUAAUAUUAAGGAUUUUUAUUCUUCUUAUUGGUUCUAGAAUAAAAAUAAUGAUUAAUAGGGACAGUUGGGGGCAUUUGUAUUUAACAGUCAGAGGUGAAAUUCUUAGAUUUGUUAAAGACAAACUACUGCGAAAGCAUUUGCCAAGGAUGUUUUCAUUAAUCAAGAACGAAAGUUAGGGGAUCGAAGACGAUCAGAUACCGUCGUAGUCUUAACCAUAAACUAUGCCAACUAGAGAUUGGAGGUUGUUCCUUACUCCUUUA
Molecule: ribosomal RNA, 820 nt
Filed under: Cryptosporidium sp. deer genotype
Lineage: Eukaryota; Apicomplexa; Conoidasida; Eucoccidiorida; Cryptosporidiidae
Description: SSU rRNA
Rfam family: Eukaryotic small subunit ribosomal RNA
Source: RNAcentral